GCCGGUGUGGCGAAACUGGUAUACGCAGGGGACUCAAAAUCCCCCGGGGGAAACCUCGUGUCGGUUCGACUCCGACCACCGGCACCA
RNAcentral lists this transfer RNA (87 nucleotides) under Limnobacter sp. RNAcentral describes it as "tRNA-Leu". It matches the Rfam family "tRNA". From Rfam's summary of the family: Transfer RNA (tRNA) molecules are approximately 80 nucleotides in length. Their secondary structure includes four short double-helical elements and three loops (D, anti-codon, and T loops). Further hydrogen bonds mediate the characteristic L-shaped molecular structure. tRNAs have two regions of fundamental functional importance: the anti-codon, which is responsible for specific mRNA codon recognition, and the 3' end, to which the tRNAs corresponding amino acid is attached (by aminoacyl-tRNA synthetases). tRNAs cope with the degeneracy of the genetic code in two manners: having more than one tRNA (with a specific anti-codon) for a particular amino acid; and 'wobble' base-pairing, i.e. permitting non-standard base-pairing at the 3rd anti-codon position. RNAcentral also lists the same sequence under 1 other name. The record is from RNAcentral. Lineage: Bacteria; Pseudomonadati; Pseudomonadota; Betaproteobacteria; Burkholderiales; Burkholderiaceae.